UACCCAGUUCGGAUUGUAGGCUGCAACUCGCCUACAUGAAGUCGGAGUUGCUAGUAAUCGCGGAUCAGAAUGCCGCGGUGAAUGCGUUCCCGGGUCUUGUACACACCGCCCGUCACACCAUGGAAGUUGGGGGCNCCCGAAGUUGCCUAAGAAAUAAGGUACCUAAGGCGAAACCAAUGACUGGGGUGAAGUCGUAACAAGGUACC
This 206-nucleotide ribosomal RNA is filed under the name uncultured bacterium. RNAcentral describes it as "partial 16S ribosomal RNA". It matches the Rfam family "Bacterial small subunit ribosomal RNA", at positions 1285 to 1500 of the family's 1533-position model. The record is from RNAcentral.